UUUAUUUUUACACUGCAGAUAAGUCCAGAAGGUCACAGGAGGGAAUAAACGCAGGCUGCAGACAGCAAAAAAGAAGAAGGUGAAGAAACGUAUAAAAGAAAAUGGUAGAAACAGCGGCAUAAACAAAGAAUACAGGAUAGGUGCAGAGAUGAGCCAAGAAGAAAAAAGGAAAUUCAGAGGACCAGCAACAGCCAUGAGGAGACGGAGUGAGAGACUGCGGUGAUCUACCAAAAGAAAGAACUGCAACAGCCUUCAAACAACAAAUGAAUAAUUCAGACGCAUCAGUGAGUCCGUUGCUCUGUGUGCAUGCUAGAUCUCAGGGCUAAGAAACUUAAAUAAUACAGUUUCAGGUUUGAC
Long non-coding RNA from Parambassis ranga (Indian glassy fish), 357 nucleotides. NCBI's taxonomy places the organism in Eukaryota, Metazoa, Chordata, Actinopteri, Ambassidae. The record is from Ensembl.